AUUUAAUGUGAUUAUAGUGAUACAAGUUAUUUAGAACAUGAUUAUUUAUUUUCUUCUUUCUGUUAUUUCUUUUCCAACACUAUUUUUUUAUAGUAAUUAAAGGGAAAUAUUAAUAAGAAACUAACUAAAAGAAAAACUUACUGUUUUUUCCAACACCAGAACAGGCCCACCAACAUUAUACUUUAUAAAAAGCCAACUACAUUAGUUU
This 208-nucleotide long non-coding RNA is filed under the name Populus trichocarpa (black cottonwood). RNAcentral's name for it is "long non-coding RNA (PTRI_LNC003755)". Lineage: Eukaryota; Viridiplantae; Streptophyta; Magnoliopsida; Malpighiales; Salicaceae. The record is from RNAcentral.